AUUUCACUUUCAGCUGCAACGUCGUCUCUUGGAGCUGCUGUGUCUUCUGAUGGAGGCCCUGCUGUACCAACUGCAAAGCUUUUCUUCUCCGCCAUUGUUUUCCUGUUACUAUUGUACUGGUAUUAGGUGGCAUUCACAUCUGAGCGUUUUACAGCUCUGGGUGUUUUUGUUUAGCCAAUAGGAAGCACUAGGUGGAGGAGAGGGGGAGGAGAUUAGGGAUGGAGAACUGCUGUUUAAGCAGAAAACGAGUGACAAAACGCUCAUAAAGCGUUCAUGUUGCACAUUUGCAGGCGUUCUCUUUAGAAGUCUAUGGGGCCCAGUCUACCAAAAAUAAGCUUGUGUACUUUUUUGAGCGAUGGGCAUUUUGCUUUUGGGCGACAAAACGCUAAGAUGUGAACAGGGGCCAUUGAAAUUAAUGGGAUUUGCCUUGUUGAGCAUUUUAGAGCUUCAAGCAGAAAAUCGCACAGGUAUGAACAGGGCCUAUCAUACUGACUUACCAGUGUGAAUUGGUAUCAGAUUUGCAGAUCGGUGUAACUAUACAUAUUGGGGAAGGGUUCUAUAAUCACUCAGAGCAAAGCAGGAUCUUCUACGGCAGACAAAGUCUUGGCAAGAUGGUAAAUAUUGGGAGAACUAGUACA
Rana temporaria (common frog) is the source of this 638-nucleotide long non-coding RNA. RefSeq lists it as uncharacterized. The record is from RefSeq and is a predicted model, not a curated record. The transcript is spliced from 3 exons. Lineage: Eukaryota; Metazoa; Chordata; Amphibia; Anura; Ranidae.